UUUAAGAAAUGGUCACCAGUGAGCCCCUCCGCCUGGUUGCCGCUUGCGCUGUCCAUGGACGCCACGCCGGCCGGUUACUACCACCCACCAACCUCCACCGGAUACUACCACUCUCCUCCGACCUCCUCCCGCCACCCGUACUACUCUCUGCCUCCGGUUCAGGCUUCUCCGCCGUCUCACAGAGCUCCUCCACUCCCGUACAGCCGCACGCCGCUACCUCCGCUGCGCCAGUCCCAUCACUCCCCACCGUACGCACUUCACCGAACUCCCCCAUAUGGAGCCGCCUACGCAGCGUCUGGAGAGCUGCCUUCGUUCGACGAGGUCCGGACCCUCUUCGUAGCAGGGCUCCCUGGCGACGUGAAGGUUCGUGAAGUAUAUAACCUCUUCCGGGAGUUCCCUGGGUACUAGUCGGCACAACUCAGGAGCUCUGGACAGUCCUUUCAGGCUUAUGUAUUUUCUGUCUUUACUGAUCAACAAUCAGCGCUUGCUGCAAUGCACUCCCUAAAUGGAUUGGUGUUUGACAUUGAGAGAGAAUUGAGUAUUCACAUUGAUCUUGCGAAAUCAAAUUCUAGGUCCAAAUGCCCAAGAACAGAUGAAAACAUAUAUUCUUCUGAUAGAGGAGUUAGAGGGUCUGCAUUCUGCUGCAUAGUCAAGAGAUAUUCGAGAUUCCAGUAAUAGAAGCCAUUCUUUGCUAGCAGUUAAAGAUAGUUAUUUGGUUCACCAUCGCGGUUUGUCUGCAUUUUGUUGUAUGCAUAAUGCUACUUGAUAAUGUAACUGAGACAUACCCUACUUGAAGUUGUGGCUUUUGUAACUGACUUGCUUAUGGAUAUUCUUUUUGCAGGCACUAAUGUCUGUGAUAUUGGUUUAAAUAUUUUAGUGUAAUUCUAGAUAUAGCUGCAAUAAUUCCUCACAUGGGUACACAUUCCUCAAAAGCUCACGUUUACACGUUUACACGUCUUGGCACAAUCUUCACACUAGCAGGUGCUGGAAGCAACGCUCACAUGCUUUGAAUGAUUUAUUCUUCUUACAGUGGUUAUCCCUCCACACAAAGGUUUUGCACACAGUUUUUAUGCUUAAUUUUGCUUAUUGAAACUUGCGAAGCACAUUGGUAAUAAUACAUAGCUGCACCUAGGCUAUGGAAAUGAUGAGCAAGUAUUGAGCAUCUUAAAAUGAUUGUAGUUCAAUUGAUAUUUUCAGGCAUGACUGACAACUAUCUUGUUCCUUUAACUGCAGCAACAAACAAUUGGCUUAUGAUUCAGAGCACAAUAAUUUGGUGAGUUUUGGUUCUUUACUUUCAUCUCAAUUGUCAUAUUAUAUACUCUAGUUUCUCUUUACUUGUUAGACAAAACUUAAGCCUUGCACCUUUCUUGGCAUAAAUAGGGAUUUAAAUCAAUUUAAUUUUGGAAAGCCUGAAGGCAAUUAGGAUGAAUUUUUACUGUUGAUGGCAUCACAAAAAUGCCUUUUCUCCUUUUAAUUGUGUUGUAAUCUGUUUUAUAUGAUCACUGAAGGAGGUUAUGGUUUUUUUUUGUUUGUUUUUGUAGAUUAAGGUUAGAAGCUUAAACAAAGACCUUGUAGUCCUAGUUUUUUCAAAUUAAUGUAAAUUGUAUAUCAUCGGUUUGCUUCAGAGUUUCCGGUU
Zingiber officinale is the source of this 1636-nucleotide long non-coding RNA. RefSeq lists it as uncharacterized. The record is from RefSeq and is a predicted model, not a curated record. Lineage: Eukaryota; Viridiplantae; Streptophyta; Magnoliopsida; Zingiberales; Zingiberaceae. The transcript is spliced from 4 exons.